GAAAGGAACUAGAAAGUCACUCAAAGAUGAUAUAAUAUUGAACUAGAAUGGCUAUUGUUAAAAACAAGAAAACUAGAAAGUCUUUGAACAAAACUAAGGACUAGAAAGGCGUUGAUAAGAGUGAAGAAAGCUUCACUCUUGCUUCCAUAUAUACACUUAACUAAGAGCUAUGUGGUGAUGUCCUAUAGGACCUCCAAAACGUGUUGAAUUUGCAAGACAUGUAUCUU
RNAcentral lists this long non-coding RNA (227 nucleotides) under Physcomitrium patens. RNAcentral's name for it is "long non-coding RNA (PPAT_LNC011178)". Lineage: Eukaryota; Viridiplantae; Streptophyta; Bryopsida; Funariales; Funariaceae. The record is from RNAcentral.